This 504-nucleotide ribosomal RNA is filed under the name uncultured bacterium. Its description in RNAcentral is "partial 16S ribosomal RNA". It matches the Rfam family "Bacterial small subunit ribosomal RNA", at positions 29 to 523 of the family's 1533-position model. The record is from RNAcentral.
AUUGAACGCUGGCGGCAGGCCUAACACAUGCAAGUCGAACGGUAGCACAGAGAGCUUGCUCUCGGGUGACGAGCGGCGGACGGGUGAGUAACGUCUGGGAAACUGCCCGAUGGAGGGGGAUAACUACUGGAAACGGUAGCUAAUACCGCAUAACGUCGCAAGACCAAAGUGGGGGACCUUCGGGCCUCACACCAUCGGAUGUGCCCAGAUGGGAUUAGCUAGUAGGUGGGGUAAUGGCUCACCUAGGCGACGAUCCCUAGCUGGUCUGAGAGGAUGACCAGCCACACUGGAACUGAGACACGGUCCAGACUCCGACGGGAGGCAGCAGUGGGGAAUAUUGCACAAUGGGCGCAAGCCUGAUGCAGCCAUGCCGCGUGUAUGAAGAAGGCCUUCGGGUUGUAAAGUACUUUCAGCGGGGAGGAAGGCGGUGAAGUUAAUAGCUUCACCGAUUGACGUUACCCGCAGAAGAAGCACCGGCUAACUACGUGCCAGCAGCCGCCGUAA